AUUGAACGCUGGCGGCAGGCCUAACACAUGCAAGUCGAGCGGAUGAAGGGUUUCUGCUCUUGGAUUCAGCGGCGGACGGGUGUGUAAUGUCUAUGAACCUGCCUGGUCGUGGGGGAUAACGUCCGGAAACGGGCGCUAAUACCGCAUACGUCCUGAGGGAGAAAGUGGGGGAUCUUCGGACCUCACGCUAUCGGAUGAGCCUAGGUCGGAUUAGCUAGUUGGUGGGGUAAAGGCCUACCAAGGCGACGACCCGUAACUGGUCUGAGAGGACGACCAGUCACACUGGGACUGAGACACGGUCCAGACUCCUAGAGGAGGCAGAAGUGGGGACGAUUGGACGAUGGGCGGAAGAUUGAUCCAGCGAUGCCGGGCGGGUGCAGAAGGGCUUCGGACUGUAUAACACUUUAAGUGGGGAGGACGGGCAGUAAGUUAAUACCUGGCUGUUUUGACGUUAGCAGCAGAAGAAGCACCGGCUAACUACGUG
Molecule: ribosomal RNA, 484 nt
Filed under: uncultured bacterium
Lineage: Bacteria
Description: partial 16S ribosomal RNA
Rfam family: Bacterial small subunit ribosomal RNA
Source: RNAcentral